RNAcentral lists this ribosomal RNA (253 nucleotides) under uncultured bacterium. RNAcentral describes it as "partial 16S ribosomal RNA". It matches the Rfam family "Bacterial small subunit ribosomal RNA", at positions 524 to 776 of the family's 1533-position model. The record is from RNAcentral.
UACGAAGGGGGCUAGCGUUGUUCGGAAUUACUGGGCGUAAAGCGUGCGCAGGCGGUUCUAUAAGUCAGAUGUGAAAUCCCCGGGCUCAACCUGGGAACUGCAUUUGUGACUGUAGAGCUGGAGUACGGCAGAGGGGGAUGGAAUUCCGCGUGUAGCAGUGAAAUGCGUAGAUAUGCGGAGGAACACCGAUGGCGAAGGCAAUCCCCUGGGCCUGUACUGACGCUCAUGCACGAAAGCGUGGGGAGCAAACAGG